This 749-nucleotide ribosomal RNA is filed under the name uncultured bacterium. Its description in RNAcentral is "bacterial SSU rRNA". It matches the Rfam family "Bacterial small subunit ribosomal RNA", at positions 33 to 773 of the family's 1533-position model. The record is from RNAcentral.
ACGCUGGCGGCAGGCCUAACACAUGCAAGUCGGACGGUAGCACAGAGAGCUUGCUCUCGGGUGACGAGUGGCGGACGGGUGAGUAAUGUCUGGGAAACUGCCCGAUGGAGGGGGAUAACUACUGGAAACGGUAGCUAAUACCGCAUAACGUCGCAAGACCAAAGUGGGGGACCUUCGGGCCUCACACCAUCGGAUGUGCCCAGAUGGGAUUAGCUAGUAGGUGGGGUAAUGGCUCACCUAGGCGACGAUCCCUAGCUGGUCUGAGAGGAUGACCAGCCACACUGGAACUGAGACACGGUCCAGACUCCUACGGGAGGCAGCAGUGGGGAAUAUUGCACAAUGGGCGCAAGCCUGAUGCAGCCAUGCCGCGUGUAUGAAGAAGGCCCUCGGGUUGUAAAGUACUUUCAGCGGGGAGGAAGGCGGUGAGGUUAAUAACCUUACCGAUUGACGUUACCCGCAGAAGAAGCACCGGCUAACUCCGUGCCAGCAGCCGCGGUAAUACGGAGGGUGCAAGCGUUAAUCGGAAUUACUGGGCGUAAAGCGCACGCAGGCGGUCUGUCAAGUCGGAUGUGAAAUCCCCGGGCUUAACCUGGGAACUGCAUUCGAAACUGGCAGGCUAGAGUCUUGUAGAGGGGGGUAGAAUUCCAGGUGUAGCGGUGAAAUGCGUAGAGAUCUGGAGGAAUACCGGUGGCGAAGGCGGCCCCCUGGACAAAGGCUGACGCUCAGGUGCGAAAGCGUGGGGAGCAAAC